This is a non-coding RNA of Vicia faba (fava bean), 312 nucleotides long. Lineage: Eukaryota; Viridiplantae; Streptophyta; Magnoliopsida; Fabales; Fabaceae. The record is from the annotation of a GenBank genome assembly.
AUGUAUGACCAGAAGAAGACACGACCUGAAGGUCGUGUUCCUAAGGGGAAACAAAGGAGCCAUUGGAAUGGGGUUUUGGAACGGUGCCAGAACCAGCGUGUGUCGCGAAUUUCAGAUACUGCGGAGGUUAGUGUUCCGACGAAGAUUGUUGCGGACAUGAGGGACAUGAUGAGGCUGUGGAAGGCGGGGAUGGGGCCGAGAGGAUGUGGCGGCGGUUGGGGAAGAGGAGGGAGAGGGAGAGAUGGAGGAAAGAGAGAGGGUGAGGUAGGUGGCUAUGGAGGUGAAGAGGAAGGACCAGGUGGAGCCCCAUGA